RNAcentral lists this ribosomal RNA (1361 nucleotides) under uncultured bacterium. RNAcentral's name for it is "bacterial SSU rRNA". It matches the Rfam family "Bacterial small subunit ribosomal RNA", at positions 28 to 1381 of the family's 1533-position model. The record is from RNAcentral.
AUUGAACGCUGGCGGCAGGCCUAACACAUGCAAGUCGAGCGGUAGCACAGAGAGCUUGCUCUCGGGUGACGAGCGGCGGACGGGUGAGUAAUGUCUGGGAAACUGCCUGAUGGAGGGGGAUAACUACUGGAAACGGUAGUUAAUACCGCAUAACGUCGCAAGACCAAAGUGGGGGACCUUCGGGCCUCAUGCCAUCAGAUGUGCCCAGAUGGGAUUAGCUAGUAGGUGGGGUAACGGCUCACCUAGGCGACGAUCCCUAGCUGGUCUGAGAGGAUGACCAGCCACACUGGAACUGAGACACGGUCCAGACUCCUACGGGAGGCAGCAGUGGGGAAUAUUGCACAAUGGGCGCAAGCCUGAUGCAGCCAUGCCGCGUGUGUGAAGAAGGCCUUCGGGUUGUAAAGCACUUUCAGCGGGGAGGAAGGCGUUAAGGUUAAUAACCUUGGCGAUUGACGUUACCCGCAGAACAAGCACCGGCUAACUCCGUGCCAGCAGCCGCGGGUAUACGGAGGGUGCAAGCGUUAAUCGGAAUUACUGGGCGUAAAGCGCACGCAGGCGGUCUGUCUAGUCGGAUGUGAAAUCCCCGGGCUCAACCUGGGAACUGCAUUCGAAACUGGCAGGCUAGAGUCUUGUAGAGGGGGGUAGAAUUCCAGGUGUAGCGGUGAAAUGCGUAGAGAUCUGGAGGAAUACCGGUGGCGAAGGCGGCCCCCUGGACAAAGACUGACGCUCAGGUGCGAAAGCGUGGGGAGCAAACAGGAUUAGAUACCCUGGUAGUCCACGCCGUAAACGAUGUCGAUUUGGAGGUUGUGCCCUUGAGGCGUGGCUUCCGGAGCUAACGCGUUAAAUCGACCGCCUGGGGAGUACGGCCGCAAGGUUAAAACUCAAAUGAAUUGACGGGGGCCCGCACAAGCGGUGGAGCAUGUGGUUUAAUUCGAUGCAACGCGAAGAACCUUACCUGGUCUUGACAUCCACAGAACUUUCCAGAGAUGGAUUGGUGCCUUCGGGAACUGUGAGACAGGUGCUGCAUGGCUGUCGUCAGCUCGUGUUGUGAAAUGUUGGGUUAAGUCCCGCAACGAGCGCAACCCUUAUCCUUUGUUGCCAGCGGUUAGGCCGGGAACUCAAAGGAGACUGCCAGUGAUAAACUGGAGGAAGGUGGGGAUGACGUCAAGUCAUCAUAGCCCUUACGACCAGGGCUACACACGUGCUACAAUGGCAUAUACAAAGAGAAGCGACCUCGCGAGAGCAAGCGGACCUCAUAAAGUAUGUCGUAGUCCGGAUUGGAGUCUGCAGCUCGACUCCAUGAAGUCGGAAUCGCUAGUAAUCGUAGAUCAGAAUGCUACGGUGAAUACGUUCCCGGGCCU